GCCCAGAUGGCGGAAUUGGUAGACGCACUCGUUUCAGGUGCGAGCGCCGCGAGGCAUAGGAGUUCGAGUCUCCUUCUGGGCACUA
This 85-nucleotide transfer RNA is filed under the name [Candidatus Thermochlorobacteriaceae] bacterium GBChlB. RNAcentral's name for it is "Candidatus Thermochlorobacteriaceae bacterium GBChlB tRNA-Leu". It matches the Rfam family "tRNA". Rfam says of the family: Transfer RNA (tRNA) molecules are approximately 80 nucleotides in length. Their secondary structure includes four short double-helical elements and three loops (D, anti-codon, and T loops). Further hydrogen bonds mediate the characteristic L-shaped molecular structure. tRNAs have two regions of fundamental functional importance: the anti-codon, which is responsible for specific mRNA codon recognition, and the 3' end, to which the tRNAs corresponding amino acid is attached (by aminoacyl-tRNA synthetases). tRNAs cope with the degeneracy of the genetic code in two manners: having more than one tRNA (with a specific anti-codon) for a particular amino acid; and 'wobble' base-pairing, i.e. permitting non-standard base-pairing at the 3rd anti-codon position. The record is from RNAcentral. Lineage: Bacteria; Pseudomonadati; Chlorobiota; Chlorobiia; Chlorobiales; Chloroherpetonaceae.